RNAcentral lists this non-coding RNA (451 nucleotides) under Pongo abelii (Sumatran orangutan). Lineage: Eukaryota; Metazoa; Chordata; Mammalia; Primates; Hominidae. The record is from RNAcentral.
AGACUGAUUAGAAAACCAGCUCAAGGUCAUGUUGCUGCUCUCUCAUUCCUGUUGAGGGCUCUCUGGUGGAGCCUGUCUCACAGGCCACCUGCAGGCCAACACUCCCAGAAGCAGCUAGCACCAUGGUUGACCUCGUCCAGGUCCAGGGAAGGCCUCCCUCUCCAGGACUCCUUUAGAUUUCCCCAGCAUCCAGACCUCACCUGCCAAAGUGCCGUAGCCCUGGAAGCCACACAGUGAGCACGAGCUCCAUCUUGCACCUUUACCAGCCGAUGAGGGUAAAGACAUUAGCUGUAUAGGGGGAAUAGUGGCCAGGAAGAUCUCAGAGGUGGCUUCUGGAAGAGGAACCUGGGUACUGGCUACCCUGCCUUGUGUCCCAUCAUUGGUCUGUCUUGCCUGCCUUGGAGCACAUUUCUCACCAAGCACCAUGGCAGAGGACAGAAGAAGACCAGGA